GAUGAACGCUGGCGGCGUGCCUAACACAUGCAAGUCGAACGAGAUGCGUAUUGGAAAGCUUCGGCCGGAAGAUGCGUUAUCUAGUGGCGGACGGGUGAGUAACACGUGGGUAACCUGCCUUAUGGAGGGGGAUAACAGAGAGAAAUCACUGCUAAUACCGCAUAAGCACACAGUACCGCAUGGUAGAGUGUGAAAAGAUUUAUCGCCAUAAGAUGGACCCGCGUCUGAUUAGCCAGUUGGCAGGGUAAAAGCCUACCAAAGCGACGAUCAGUAGCCGAUCUGAGAGGAUGACCGGCCACACUUGGGACUGAGACACGGCCCAAACUCCUACGGGAGGCAGCAGUGGGGAAUAUUGCACAAUGGGGGAAACCCUGAUGCAGCGACGCCGCGUGAGUGAAGAAGUAUUUCGGUAUGUAAAGCUCUAUCAGCAGGGAAGAUAA
This 440-nucleotide ribosomal RNA is filed under the name Oribacterium sinus. RNAcentral's name for it is "bacterial SSU rRNA". It matches the Rfam family "Bacterial small subunit ribosomal RNA", at positions 28 to 451 of the family's 1533-position model. The record is from RNAcentral. Lineage: Bacteria; Bacillati; Bacillota; Clostridia; Lachnospirales; Lachnospiraceae.